GGAGUUAGCCGGUGCUUCUUCUGUGAGUGAUGUCCUUCCUGCCGGCUAUUAACCCGCAGGCCUUCUUCCUCACUGAAAGUGCUUUACAACCCGAAGGCCUUCUUCACACACGCGGCAUGGCUGGAUCAGGGUUGCCCCCAUUGUCCAAUAUUCCCCACUGCUGCCUCCCGUAGGAGUCUGGGCCGUGUCUCAGUCCCAGUGUGGCUGAUCAUCCUCUCAGACCAGCUACGGAUCGUCGCCUUGGUGAGCCGUUACCUCACCAACCAGCUAAUCCGACAUAGGCUCAUCCGAUAGCGCGAGGCCCGAAGGUCCCCCGCUUUCCCCCGUAGGGCCGUAUGCGGUAUUAGCCUGGGUUUCCCCAGGUUAUCCCCCACUACCGGGCAGAUUCCUAUGCAUUACUCACCCGUCCGCCGCUCGCCACCAGGGAGCAAGCUCCCCGUGCUGCCGCUCGACUUGCAUGUGUUAGGCCUGCCGCCAGCGUUCAAUCUGAGCCAUGAUCAAACUCUGA
Molecule: ribosomal RNA, 508 nt
Filed under: uncultured bacterium
Lineage: Bacteria
Description: partial 16S ribosomal RNA
Source: RNAcentral